CCUACGGGCGGCUGCAGUGGGGAAUAUUGGACAAUGGGGGCGACCCUGAUCCAGCCAUGCCGCGUGUGUGAAGAAGGCCCUCGGGUUGUAAAGCACUUUCAGUGAGGAAGAACGCCUGGUGGUUAAUACCCAUCAGGAAAGACAUCACUCACAGAAGAAGCACCGGCUAACUCCGUGCCAGCAGCCGCGGUAAUACGGAGGGUGCGAGCGUUAAUCGGAAUUACUGGGCGUAAAGCGCGCGUAGGUGGCUUGAUAAGCCGGUUGUGAAAGCCCCGGGCUCAACCUGGGAACGGCAUCCGGAACUGUCAAGCUAGAGUGCAGGAGAGGAAGGUAGAAUUCCCGGUGUAGCGGUGAAAUGCGUAGAGAUCGGGAGGAAUACCAGUGGCGAAGGCGGCCUUCUGGACUGACACUGACACUGAGGUGCGAAAGCGUGGGUAGCAAACAGGAUUAGAUACCCUAGUAGUC
Molecule: ribosomal RNA, 465 nt
Filed under: Vreelandella stevensii
Lineage: Bacteria; Pseudomonadati; Pseudomonadota; Gammaproteobacteria; Oceanospirillales; Halomonadaceae
Description: partial 16S ribosomal RNA
Rfam family: Bacterial small subunit ribosomal RNA
Source: RNAcentral